RNAcentral lists this ribosomal RNA (497 nucleotides) under uncultured bacterium. RNAcentral describes it as "partial 16S ribosomal RNA". It matches the Rfam family "Bacterial small subunit ribosomal RNA", at positions 28 to 507 of the family's 1533-position model. The record is from RNAcentral.
GACGAACGCUGGCGGCGUGCCUAAUACAUGCAAGUUGAGCGCUGAAGGUUGGUACUUGUACCAACUGGAUGAGCAGCGAACGGGUGAGUAACGCGUGGGGAAUCUGCCUUUGAGCGGGGGACAACAUUUGGAAACGAAUGCUAAUACCGCAUAAAAACUUUAAACACAAGUUUUAAGUUUGAAAGAUGCAAUUGCAUCACUCAAAGAUGAUCCCGCGUUGUAUUAGCUAGUUGGUGAGGUAAAGGCUCACCAAGGCGAUGAUACAUAGCCGACCUGAGAGGGUGAUCGGCCACAUUGGGACUGAGACACGGCCCAAACUCCUACGGGAGGCAGCAGUAGGGAAUCUUCGGAAAGGGACGAAAGUCUGACCGAGCAACGCCGCGUGAGUGAAGAAGGGUUUCGGAUCGUAAAACUCUGUUGGUAGAGAAGAACGUUGGUGAGAGUGGAAAGCUCAUCAAGGGACGGUAACUACCCAGAAAGGGACGGCUAACUACGUG